UGCGCAGGCGGACUAUUAAGUCAGUGGUGAAAUCCCGGGGCUCAACCUCGGAACUGCCAUUGAUACUGAUAGUCUUGAGUUUGGUUGAAGUAGGCGGAAUGUAGCAUGUAGCGGUGAAAUGCAUAGAUAUGCUACAGAACACCAAUCGCGAAGGCAGCUUACUAAGCCAAAACUGACGCUCAUGCACGAAAGCGUGGGGAGCAAACAGGAUUAGAUACCCUGGUAGUCC
This 229-nucleotide ribosomal RNA is filed under the name uncultured bacterium. Its description in RNAcentral is "partial 16S ribosomal RNA". It matches the Rfam family "Bacterial small subunit ribosomal RNA", at positions 568 to 796 of the family's 1533-position model. The record is from RNAcentral.